ACGCACGCUGGCGGCGUGCUUAACACCUGCAAGUCGAACGGAAAGGCCCUGCUUUUGUGGGGUGCUCGAGUGGCGAACGGGUGAGUAACACGUGAGUAACCUGCCCUUGACUUUGGGAUAACUUCAGGAAACUGGGGCUAAUACCGGAUAGGAGCUCCUGCUGCAUGGUGGGGGUUGGAAAGUUUCGGCUGUUGGGGUUGGACUCGCGGCUUAUCAGAUUGUUGGUGGGGUAGUGGCCUACCAAGGCGUUGACGGGUAGCCGGCCUGAGAGGGUGACAGGCCACAUUGGGACGUAGACACGGACCAGGCUACUGAGGGACGGAGCAGUGGGGAAUGUUGGGCAAUGGGCGCAAACCUGACCCAGCAAGGCCGCGUGCGGGAAGGAGGCCUUCGGGUUGUAAACCGCUUUUGGGAGGAACGAAACGGUGUCCGCUAAUACCGGGCGCUAAUGACGGUACCUGGAGAAUAAGCACCGGCUAACUACGUG
This 487-nucleotide ribosomal RNA is filed under the name uncultured bacterium. Its description in RNAcentral is "partial 16S ribosomal RNA". It matches the Rfam family "Bacterial small subunit ribosomal RNA", at positions 29 to 507 of the family's 1533-position model. The record is from RNAcentral.